RNAcentral lists this ribosomal RNA (305 nucleotides) under uncultured bacterium. Its description in RNAcentral is "bacterial SSU rRNA". It matches the Rfam family "Bacterial small subunit ribosomal RNA", at positions 28 to 325 of the family's 1533-position model. The record is from RNAcentral.
GACGAACGCUGGCGGCGUGCUUAACACAUGCAAGUCGAGCGGUAAGGCCCUUUCGGGGUACGACGAGCGGCGAACGGGUGAGUAACACGUGGGUGACCUCGCCCUCAGCUCUGGGAGUAAGCCUCGGGGAAACCGGGGUACGUUAAUACUGGAUAUGACUCCCAUGACGCAUGUUGUGGGGUGGAAAGCCUUGUGCGGCUGAGGAUGGGCCCGCGGCCUAUCAGCUUGUUGGUGGGGUGANGGCCUACCAAGGCGACGACGGGUAGCCGGCCUGAGAGGGCGACCGGCCACACUGGGACUGAGAC